AUACCGCAUACGCCCUACGGGGGAAAGCGGGGGACCUUCGGGCCUCGUGCUAUUAGAUGAGCCUGCGUUGGAUUAGCUAGUUGGUGGGGUAAAGGCCUACCAAGGCGACGAUCCAUAGCUGGUCUGAGAGGAUGAUCAGCCACACCGGGACUGAGACACGGCCCGGACUCCUACGGGAGGCAGCAGUGGGGAAUAUUGCGCAAUGGGCGAAAGCCUGACGCAGCCAUGCCGCGUGUGUGAAGAAGGCCUUCGGGUUGUAAAGCACUUUCAAUUGGGAGGAAAGGUUUACGGUUAAUAACCGUGAGCUGUGACGUUACCUUUAGAAGAAGCACCGGCUAACUCCGUGCCAGCAGCCGCGGUAAUACGGAGGGUGCAAGCGUUAAUCGGAAUUACUGGGCGUAAAGCGCGCGUAUGUGGUCUGUUUAGUCGGAUGUGAAAGCCCCGGGCUCAACCUGGGAACUGCAUUCGAUACUGGCAGACUAGAGUGCGAGAGAGGGAGGUAGAAUUCCACGUGUAGCGGUGAAAUGCGUAGAUAUGUGGAGGAAUACCAGUGGCGAAGGCGGCCUCCUGGCUCGACACUGACACUGAGGUGCGAAAGCGUGGGGAGCAGACAGGAUUAGAUACCCUGGUAGUCCACGCCGUAAACGAUGUCUACUAGCUGUAGGGGUACUUGAGACCUUUGUAGCGCAGCUAACGC
RNAcentral lists this ribosomal RNA (697 nucleotides) under uncultured marine bacterium. Its description in RNAcentral is "bacterial SSU rRNA". It matches the Rfam family "Bacterial small subunit ribosomal RNA", at positions 166 to 858 of the family's 1533-position model. The record is from RNAcentral.